CGAACGGAAGCUUUAUAAGCUUUAGUGGCGGACGGGUGAGUAACGCGUGAGAAUCUGCCUUUAGGUAGGGGAUAACAGUUAGAAAUGACUGCUAAUACCCUAUAUACGUUAUUAAGUCAAAGGAUUUCCGCCUAAAGAAGAGCUCGCGUCUGAUUAGCUAGUUGGUGUGAUAAUAGCGCACCAAGGCGACGAUCAGUAACUGGUUUGAGAGGAUGAUCAGUCACACUGGAACUGAGACACGGUCCAGACUCCUACGGGAGGCAGCAGUGGGGAAUUUUCUGCAAUGGGCGCAAGCCUGACAGAGCAAUACCGCGUGAGGGAUGAAGGCCUGUGGGUCGUAAACCUCUUUUUUCAAGGAGGAAGAUAUGACGUGUACUUGAAGAAUAAGCAUCGGCUAACUCCGUGCCAGCAGCCGCGGUAAGACGGAGGAUGCAAGUGUUAUCCGGAAUCACUGGGCGUAAAGCGUCUGUAGGUGGCUUAAUAAGUCUGUUGUUAAAGCUUGGGGCUUAACUCCAAAAAAGCAAUGGAAACUGUUAGGCUUGAGUAUAGUAGAGGUAAAAGGAAUUUCCAGUGGAGCGGUGAAAUGCGUAGAGAUUGGAAAGAACACCGAUGGCGAAGGCAUUUUACUGGGCUAUUACUGACACUCAGAGACGAAGGCUAGGGUAGCAAAUGGGAUUAGAUACCCCAGUAGUCCUAGCAGUAAACGAUGGAUACUAGAUGUUGUACGUAUCGACUC
This 736-nucleotide ribosomal RNA is filed under the name uncultured microorganism. RNAcentral describes it as "bacterial SSU rRNA". It matches the Rfam family "Bacterial small subunit ribosomal RNA", at positions 63 to 837 of the family's 1533-position model. The record is from RNAcentral.